This 88-nucleotide transfer RNA is filed under the name Kiritimatiellia bacterium. RNAcentral's name for it is "Kiritimatiellae bacterium (gut metagenome) tRNA-Ser". It matches the Rfam family "tRNA". Rfam says of the family: Transfer RNA (tRNA) molecules are approximately 80 nucleotides in length. Their secondary structure includes four short double-helical elements and three loops (D, anti-codon, and T loops). The record is from RNAcentral. Lineage: Bacteria; Pseudomonadati; Kiritimatiellota; Kiritimatiellia. RNAcentral also lists the same sequence under 1 other name.
GGAGGGAUGGCGGAGUGGUUGAUCGCACCGGUCUUGAAAACCGGCGGGCCGCAAGGUCUCGGGGGUUCGAAUCCCUCUCCCUCCGCCA